GUAUGGGGCAAGCGUUAUCCGGAUUUACUGGGUGUAAAGGGAGCGUAGGCGGCAGGGCAAGCCUGAUGUGAAAGCCCGGGGCUCAACCCCGGGACUGCAUUGGGAACUGCCCCGCUCGAGUGCCGGAGGGGCAGGCGGAAUUCCUAGUGUAGCGGUGAAAUGCGUAGAUAUUAGGAGGAACACCAGUGGCGAAGGCGGCCUGCUGGACGGUGUACUGACGCUGAGGCUCGAAAGCGUGGGGAGCAAA
RNAcentral lists this ribosomal RNA (247 nucleotides) under uncultured bacterium. Its description in RNAcentral is "partial 16S ribosomal RNA". It matches the Rfam family "Bacterial small subunit ribosomal RNA", at positions 527 to 772 of the family's 1533-position model. The record is from RNAcentral.